GAGUUUGAUCUUGGCUCAGGAUAAACGCUGGCGGCGUGCAUGAGACAUGCAAGUCGAACGGACGAUCAGGGCUUGCUCUGAUCGUUAGUGGCGGACGGCUGAGUAACGCGUAGGUGACCUGCCCCGAAGUGGGGAAUAACUGCCCGAAAGGGUGGCUAAUACCGCAUGUGGUGGUGUGUUCAUUCACACCAGUAAAGCCGCAAGGCGCUUCGGGAGGGGCCUGCGUCCGAUUAGCUCGUUGGUGGGGUAACGGCUCACCAAGGCGACGAUCGGUAGGUGGUCUGAGAGGACGAUCACCCAGACUGGGACUGAGACACGGCCCAGACUCCUACGGGAGGCAGCAGUCGGGAAUUUUGCGCAAUGGACGAAAGUCUGACGCAGCAACGCCGCGUGAGGGAUGAAGGCCUCGGUUGU
RNAcentral lists this ribosomal RNA (414 nucleotides) under uncultured bacterium. RNAcentral's name for it is "bacterial SSU rRNA". It matches the Rfam family "Bacterial small subunit ribosomal RNA", at positions 9 to 426 of the family's 1533-position model. The record is from RNAcentral.